RNAcentral lists this ribosomal RNA (253 nucleotides) under uncultured bacterium. RNAcentral describes it as "partial 16S ribosomal RNA". It matches the Rfam family "Bacterial small subunit ribosomal RNA", at positions 524 to 776 of the family's 1533-position model. The record is from RNAcentral.
UACGUAGGGUGCGAGCGUUAUUCGGAAUUACUGGGCGUAAAGCGUGCGCAGGCGGCGCGUUAAGACAGGUGUGAAAGCCCCGAGCUUAACUUGGGAAUUGCGCUUGUGACUGGCGUGCUGGAGUGUGGCAGAGGGAGGUGGAAUUCCACGUGUAGCAGUGAAAUGCGUAGAUAUUGGGAAGAACACCGAUGGCGAAGGCAGCCAUCUGGACCGACACUGACGCUGAGGCGCGAAAGCGUGGGGAGCAAACAGG